UACGUAGGGCGCGAGCGUUGUCCGGAAUUAUUGGGCGUAAAGAGCUCGUAGGCGGCCGGUUGCGUCUGCUGUGAAAUCCCGGGGCUUAACCCCGGGCGUGCAGUGGAUACGGGCAGACUAGAGGUAGGUAGGGGAGAAUGGAAUUCCUGGUGUAGCGGUGAAAUGCGCAGAUAUCAGGAGGAACACCGGUGGCGAAGGCGGUUCUCUGGGCCUUACCUGACACUGAGGAGCGAAAGCGUGGGGAGCGAACAGG
This 253-nucleotide ribosomal RNA is filed under the name uncultured bacterium. RNAcentral describes it as "partial 16S ribosomal RNA". It matches the Rfam family "Bacterial small subunit ribosomal RNA", at positions 524 to 776 of the family's 1533-position model. The record is from RNAcentral.